This 254-nucleotide ribosomal RNA is filed under the name uncultured bacterium. RNAcentral describes it as "partial 16S ribosomal RNA". It matches the Rfam family "Bacterial small subunit ribosomal RNA", at positions 524 to 776 of the family's 1533-position model. The record is from RNAcentral.
UACAGAGACUGCAAGCGUUAUUCGGAUUCACUGGGCGUAAAGGGUGCGCAGGCGGCCGUGUGUGUCAGGUGUGAAAGCCCGGAGCUUAACUCCGGAAUUGCGCCUGAAACUACAUGGCUAGAGCAUUGGAGAGGGAAGUGGAAUUCACGGUGUAGCAGUGAAAUGCGUAGAUAUCGUGAGGAACACCAGUGGCGAAGGCGGCUUUCUGGACGAUAACUGACGCUGAGACGCGAAAAGCGUGGGGAGCAAACAGG